UAAUUGAAAGCUGGAAUGAAGGGUUGAAUGAAAAAUUUACUGUCUCUAAUUAAUUUUAUUAGAAUUUUAUUUUUAAGUUAAAAAGCUUAAAUAGUUUUAAAAGACGAGAAGACCCCAUAGAGUUUUAUAUAUUAAAUUUAUAAAUAUUUAGAAAUAAUUUUUUAUAAUAAUAGUAUAUUUGAUUGGGGUGAUUUAAAAAUUAAUUAAACUUUUUAUUUAUAUUAAUAUUGAUUAAUAAAUUUAUGAUCCAAAAAUUUUGAUUAUAAGAUAAAUUACCUUGGGGAUAACAGCGUAAUUUUAUUAAAGAGUUCUAAUCGAAAAUAAAGUUUGCGACCUCGAUGUUGGAUUAAAAUUUAAAUUUGGUGUAGAAGCUAAAUAUUUAAGUCUGUUCGACUUUUAAAAUUUUAC
Molecule: ribosomal RNA, 408 nt
Filed under: Longitarsus nasturtii
Lineage: Eukaryota; Metazoa; Arthropoda; Insecta; Coleoptera; Chrysomelidae
Description: partial 16S ribosomal RNA
Rfam family: Bacterial large subunit ribosomal RNA (bases 283-408)
Source: RNAcentral